GAUGAACGCUGGCGGCGUGCCUAAUACAUGCAAGUCGAGCGAACGGACGAGAAGCUUGCUUCCCUGCUGUUAGCGGCGGACGGGUGAGUAACACGUGGAUCACAUACCUAUUAGUCUGGGAUAAUUUCGGGAAACCGGUGCUAAUACCGGCUGAUACUUUGAACCGCAUGGUUCAAAAGUGCUUGACGGUUUUGCUGUCACUUAUAGAUGGAUCCGCGCUGAUUUAGUUACUUGGUAAGGUAACGCCUUACCAAGGGAACGAUGCAUAGCCGACCUGAGAGAGUAAUCGGCCACACGGAAACGGAGACACGGUCCAGACUCCAACGGGAGGCAGCGGUGGGGAAUCUGGCGCAAUGGGAGAAAGCCGGACGGAGCAACGCCGCGGGGGGAAGGAGGGUCUUCGGUUCGAAAAACUCUGUUAUUGGAGAAGAACGUAGGUGUAAGUAACUGUGCACAUCUGAACGGUACCAAAGCAGAAAGCCACGGCUAACUACGU
RNAcentral lists this ribosomal RNA (496 nucleotides) under uncultured bacterium. RNAcentral's name for it is "partial 16S ribosomal RNA". It matches the Rfam family "Bacterial small subunit ribosomal RNA", at positions 28 to 506 of the family's 1533-position model. The record is from RNAcentral.